Molecule: ribosomal RNA, 759 nt
Filed under: Myroides sp. JSM 111015
Lineage: Bacteria; Pseudomonadati; Bacteroidota; Flavobacteriia; Flavobacteriales; Flavobacteriaceae
Description: bacterial SSU rRNA
Rfam family: Bacterial small subunit ribosomal RNA
Source: RNAcentral
GUUACUACGUACUUAUUGACGCUGAUGAACGAAAGCGUGGGUAGCGAACAGGAUUAGAUACCCUGGUAGUCCACGCCGUAAACGAUGGAUACUAGCUGUUCGGACUUCGGUUUGAGUGGCUAAGCGAAAGUGAUAAGUAUCCCACCUGGGGAGUACGUUCGCAAGAAUGAAACUCAAAGGAAUUGACGGGGGCCCGCACAAGCGGUGGAGCAUGUGGUUUAAUUCGAUGAUACGCGAGGAACCUUACCAGGGCUUAAAUGUAGAUUGACAGGUUUGGAAACAGACUUUUCUUCGGACAAUUUACAAGGUGCUGCAUGGUUGUCGUCAGCUCGUGCCGUGAGGUGUCAGGUUAAGUCCUAUAACGAGCGCAACCCCUAUUGUUAGUUACCAGCGCGUUAAGGCGGGGACUCUAGCAAGACUGCCGGUGCAAACCGUGAGGAAGGUGGGGAUGACGUCAAAUCAUCACGGCCCUUACGUCCUGGGCUACACACGUGCUACAAUGGCAAGUACAGAAAGCAGCUACCUGGCAACAGGAUGCGAAUCUCCAAAGCUUGUCUCAGUUCGGAUUGGAGUCUGCAACUCGACUCUAUGAAGCUGGAAUCGCUAGUAAUCGGAUAUCAGCCAUGAUCCGGUGAAUACGUUCCCGGGCCUUGUACACACCGCCCGUCAAGCCAUGGAAGCUGGGGGUACCUGAAGUCGGUGACCGCAAGGAGCUGCCUAGGGUAAAACUAGUGACUGGGGCUAAGUCGAACAAGUAAG